GCCGCUGUGGUGGAACUGGCAUACACAAGGGACUUAAAAUCCCUCGAAGGUGACUUCAUACGGGUUCGAUCCCCGUCAGCGGCACCA
This 87-nucleotide transfer RNA is filed under the name Angelakisella sp. RNAcentral's name for it is "tRNA-Leu". It matches the Rfam family "tRNA". Rfam says of the family: Transfer RNA (tRNA) molecules are approximately 80 nucleotides in length. Their secondary structure includes four short double-helical elements and three loops (D, anti-codon, and T loops). The record is from RNAcentral. Lineage: Bacteria; Bacillati; Bacillota; Clostridia; Eubacteriales; Oscillospiraceae.